This 461-nucleotide ribosomal RNA is filed under the name uncultured bacterium. RNAcentral describes it as "bacterial SSU rRNA". It matches the Rfam family "Bacterial small subunit ribosomal RNA", at positions 340 to 783 of the family's 1533-position model. The record is from RNAcentral.
UACGGGAGGCAGCAGUGGGGAAGUAAUUGUCACAAUAGGGCGGCAAGACCUCGAUGCAGCCACUGCCGCCGUGUAUGAAGAAAGGCCUUCGGGUUGUAAAGUACUUUCAGUCGUGAGGAAGGUGUUAAGGUUAAUAACCUUAGCAAUUGACGUUAGCGACAGAAGAAGCACCGGCUAACUCCGUGCCAGCAGCCGCGGUAAUACGGAGGGUGCGAGCGUUAAUCGGAAUUACUGGGCGUAAAGGGCACGCAGGCGGUUAAUUAAGUUGGAUGUGAAAUCCCCGGGCUUAACCUGGGAAUGGCAUUCAAGACUGGUUAGCUAGAGUCUUGUAGAGGGGGUAGAAUUCCAUGUGUAGCGGUGAAAUGCGUAGAGAUGUGGAGGAAUACCGGUGGCGAAGGCGGCCCCUGGACAAAGACUGACGCUCAUGUGCGAAAGCGUGGGGAGCAAAACAGGGAUUAGAU